Prunus avium (sweet cherry) is the source of this 258-nucleotide non-coding RNA. NCBI's taxonomy places the organism in Eukaryota, Viridiplantae, Streptophyta, Magnoliopsida, Rosales, Rosaceae. The record is from RefSeq and is a predicted model, not a curated record.
AUCGUAACGACAUCAUUCAUGUAUUGAUAAACAAUACGGCAACUAACAAAAUUCAAGGCAUUGCCUUAAGCAUGGCAAAACUUGAAAAGGCGGAUUGGAAUUGUGAAGCAUUCUCUAAGAUGAUUAACCUGAAAUUUCUUGAAGUUGAUAAUGUGAUCAUUUCCUCGAUCCCCAGAAUUCUUCCUAAUUCCUUAAGAAUUAUGAAAUGGAAUUGGUAUUCUUCCAAAUAUCUCCCAUCAAAUUUUCAACCGAAUAAAC